AAUAGAUACCCAGGUAGUCCACGCCCUAAACGAUGUCGACUGGUUGUUGGGGGUUUGACACUCUCAGUAACGAAGCUAACGCGUGAAGUCGACCGCCUGGGGAGUACGGCCGCAAGGUUAAAACUCAAAGGAAUUGACGGGGACCCGCACAAGCGGUGGAUGAUGUGGAUUAAUUCGAUGCAACGCGAAAAACCUUACCUACCCUUGACAUGUAUGGAACCCUGCCGAGAGGUGGGGUGCCCGAAAGGGAGCCAUAACACAGGUGCUGCAUGGCUGUCGUCAGCUCGUGUCGUGAGAUGUUGGGUUAAGUCCCGCAACGAGCGCAACCCUUGUCCCUAGUUGCUACGCAAGAGCACUCCAGGGAGACUGCCGGUGACAAACCGGAGGAAGGUGGGGAUGACGUCAAGUCCUCAUGGCCCUUAUGGGUAGGGCUUCACACGUCAUACAAUGGUCGGAACAGAGGGUCGCCAACCCGCGAGGGGGAGCCAAUCCCAGAAAACCGAUCGUAGUCCGGAUCGCACUCUGCAACUCGAGUG
RNAcentral lists this ribosomal RNA (536 nucleotides) under uncultured bacterium. RNAcentral describes it as "bacterial SSU rRNA". It matches the Rfam family "Bacterial small subunit ribosomal RNA", at positions 777 to 1318 of the family's 1533-position model. The record is from RNAcentral.